ACGGUGGACAGGCCCAUGCUCACGAGGUCUUUAUUGGAAUAAAUAACAGCAUACUGUGACGCCACGUGGCAUUGUCCUAACCGCAUCCCUGGCGGAAGAAGUGUUUGCCCGGUGUUGCAGUGAGCUCCUGAAAAGCGCUUGCUUCCUGCACUCAGCCAGGUGGGCCUGACAAACAGCAUGGCCAGGGUUUUCGUGGCUUUUAUAUAACAUCCAGAAAUCCAAAGUAAACAUUGCUUAAAACAAUUAAGAAGACAGUAAAAUACUGGCACACAAAACAGGGGGAAAGGAUUCAGUUGCUUUAAAAUAAAAUUGCUCUUUGUCACCAAGACAAUUAGGACACCACGGCCCAGCGGGACUCUGGGCUCGGUGCUUGCAUAACACUGUGUGGGCGUCAAAGGGGAACUGAAGCUGCGGGAGGCUCCCCUAGCUGGUGUGGGUUGAGAGACACGUCACAUGGAGAAGGAGAAUCAGCAAAUACCUUCCUGCCCUUGUCCGAGCGUCCACUUGGGCCUUGCAGGCCUGAGACCCCUUUGUGCUGGGACGUUUGUCCCCAUGGGUGGACAUACUUGGCCUUGCUUUCACUCAGUUCCUAUGGACCAGGGUUCCUCUUCAAAGAACCAUUCACUGAAAACGUGGUGCCGGGAGGAGGAAGGGUCCCAGAAUUUCUCUGAACUAAGAACCAAGAGCAGCAGCAGACGGGGCAUCUCACACCCAAGCCUCAUGUCCCAGCAGCCAUUCAUCCCAAGCCUAUAGGAAUCGAGUUCACCCUGAAUUCUGCCUUGGAACUGGCCCCUUGCUGCAUCUGUCCAGGCCAUGCUAUGAAUUCAGACUCAAACUGAUGGUGAAUGGAGAAAAAUGAGGAGUCGAGCCUAAUGGGGCCCUUCCCAGGUAUGCAAAAGGCACACCUACACCUUUGAACCAAUUGGAAAAGAAUGUGGACAAAAGAUCACAUCCUUUGCUGGAAACAUCGCCUUUAAGGGUCCCUGUUGUGAAACACAAGUGCCCAUGUAGCUUCCCCACAGAUCUUAUGAUUCCUUUUACUGUUCGACUUGAAACCCACAAGAGUGUGACGUGGGCAUGAGGAUAGGCAUGGGUUUACUGGUUUACUAGAUGGGGGCCGCCAGGACCUCCCUGAGAAGCUGAAGCCCCCUCCCACAGUAACCGUCCUCUCCCCUCUGAUGACACAGAAUGGGCCAGGGCUGCUCAUUUUGGCUGAAAAUCACAGCUCUGUUCUUUUCUUUUUCUUUUUUCUUUCUUUUUUUUUUUUGAGACAGAGUCUCACUCUGUUGCUCAGGCUGGAGUGCAGUGGCAUGAUCUCAGCUCACUGCAACUUCCACCUCCUGGGUUCAUGCAAUUCUCCUGCCUCAGCCUCCCGAAUAGCUGGGAUUACAGGCAUACAUACCAUGCAUGGCUAAUUUUUGUAUUUUUAGUAGACACGGGGAGAAGCCGGCAUCUACAAGCCAAGGCGAAAGGCCUGAGGAUGUAAUUCUCUGAUGUCUGAGCCACUCCCCUGUGGCACUUUACUACACAGUGCCAGUGAACCAAUGCACCCCCCUCAUUUUAAAGUUUCCAAAGAUGCAUUCAUUCCCAAAAAGGGCCUCUGAAGGGGAAAGCUGUGACCCAAGCUGUCUCAAGCAGCACAAUUAGAGCCAUCUCCAGACCCAGCCCCUCAACCACAGCAAGAAAUUAAGAAACGUCCCCAGCAGACAGCUCCUUUCAAGGACUGUGGGAGCUGGGCCAUCCUGAGUCUUGGAUGUUUGUGCAAAACCUACAUUAAAACGAGUGACCAAGAAGUGAUAGGAAUGUGGGUGGAGGACACCCAUGUCACAUCUAAGCUUCUGGGACUUUAAAGUUUUUCAAACUGCAAAACCCUUUUAUUUUUAAUAAAAGGCCUCACUUCCAAGGAGAGCC
RNAcentral lists this long non-coding RNA (1911 nucleotides) under Homo sapiens (human). RNAcentral describes it as "HSALNT0278571". The record is from RNAcentral. Lineage: Eukaryota; Metazoa; Chordata; Mammalia; Primates; Hominidae.